AACGAACGCUGGCGGCAUGCCUAACACAUGCAAGUCGAACGAGACCUUCGGGUCUAGUGGCGCACGGGUGCGUAACGCGUGGGAACCUGCCCUUAGGUUCGGAAUAACUCACCGAAAGGGGUGCUAAUACCGGAUAAUGUCUUCGCACCAAAGAUUUAUCGCCUUUGGAUGGGCCCGCGUUGGAUUGGCUAGUUGGUAGGGUACAAGCCUACCAAGGCGACGAUCCAUAGCUGGUCUGAGAGGCUGAUCAGCCACACUGGGACUGAGACACGGCCCAGACUCCUACGGGAGGCAGCAGUGGGGAAUAUUGGACAAUGGGCGAAAGCCUGAUCCAGCAAUGCCGCGUGAGUGAUGAAGGCCGUAGGGUUGUAAAGCUCUUUUACCCGGGAUGAUAAUGACAGUACCGGGAGAAUAAGCUCCGGCUAACUCCGUG
This 433-nucleotide ribosomal RNA is filed under the name uncultured bacterium. RNAcentral describes it as "partial 16S ribosomal RNA". It matches the Rfam family "Bacterial small subunit ribosomal RNA", at positions 29 to 507 of the family's 1533-position model. The record is from RNAcentral.